RNAcentral lists this long non-coding RNA (464 nucleotides) under Dromaius novaehollandiae (emu). Its description in RNAcentral is "lncRNA (ENSDNVG00000009324.1)". Lineage: Eukaryota; Metazoa; Chordata; Aves; Casuariiformes; Dromaiidae. The record is from RNAcentral.
GAAGGCUCAAACGUACCCACCAGAAGUCGUCUUACAGCAUGAAGAAAAGAAUGAAGCAAGGAACGAAGCAAAAAUAUUGGUGAGGGACAGCGAGAUGAAUCUUCCUGAUGAUGGAUAGUCUGUGAUGACUUUCCUGAGAAUCAGGAACAAAAGAAGAUCACAAACCCACCAUUAUUUCCAGGGCUGUUUCAAGGUCUUGUUUUUGCAUGGAAUCAGUGCGAAUACUUCAUUGUGUCAAGUCACUGUGGUCCAGGAUGCUUCAGUCAUCGCCCUGCCAGCCUGAAGGGAUUCAUUUUCUGAAGAGUGCCAAGGAGGUUGGAGAGUAUUCUGAGGUAGCCAGUGCCGGGGGACACCUGAAUCUGCUGCAUGAAAGUGAAAGAUUGGAACUUGGAGAGAAAACGGAAUGAACUCCUUGGGAUGAGAAGACAAGGAAAAAUAUUUGAGAUUUAAUUUUGCGAUCUUUU